CGGCAUGCGCAACACGUGUUGUUUACACCUUCAGGAACAGGCGGUAUGAUGACAUCUCAUUAGUUGACACAAUCAAUAAAUAUCACACAGAAGCUUGCUUCAGUCAUAGAGGGCAGAGCGGGAACACUCGUCUUGCAACAGUUGAGCCAUGGAAAUGGAAGAGGACUGGCUGUUUGACUCUAUAAGAAAGUACAAGAGCCUGUACAUGUAUGACCUGCAGAAACCAGUCCAGGCUGCUGAUUGGCUAUCAUCUGACUGUUUGGUUGUUGCCACAUCAGACGAAAGGAAACAUGAACUCUUGGAGUUGUCUCUCCCUGCCCAGGUGUGUGUGCAGGAAGACAGUUCUGGUUUGACGAAAGACCGAGAUUUCCAGGUGGUAAAUGGUGGCUUCACAGACAGCUCUAUCAUAUCUCUACAUCAUCUGCGCCAGGCAAGGAAAGUGUUGGCGUGUGUAAGGGGAGACAACUCUGUAGAAACCUGGCAGCUUGGGUCAGAAGAUGGAAAUCUGAUCGAGAAAAUAGGUGUUUUGUGCAGCAAGAAGCCUACAUGCCACCCGUCACAGUUGUGUGAUCCGUGGAGAAUUAUAUUUAUACAGUGUUUUUGUCCCCAUGUCCAGCCACCCUGCUCAGCUCUGUGUUCUGUGAUGAAUAAUACACAGUACUUAUCUCCCUUGUCCAGCCACCCGUCACAGUUGUGUGUUCUGUGGAGAAUUAUAUUUAUACAGUGUUUUUGUCCCCAUGUCCAGCCACCCUGCUCAGCUCUGUGUUCUAUGAUGAAUAAUACACAGUACUUAUCUCCCUUGUCCAGCCACCCAUCACAGUUGUGUGUUCUGUGGAGAAUUAUAUUUAUACAGUGUUUUUGUCCCCAUGUCCAGCCACCCUGCUCAGCUCUGUGUUCUAUGAUGAAUAAUACACGGUACUUAUCUCCCUUGUCCAGCCACCCGUCACAGUUGUGUGUUCUGUGGAGAAUUAUAUUUAUACAGUGUUUUUGUCCCCAUGUCCAGCCACCCUGCUCAGCUCUGUGUUCUAUGAUGAAUAAUACACAGUACUUAUCUCCCUUGUCCAGCCACCCGUCACAGUUGUGUGUUUUGGAUGACAGCUGUCUGGUGUUUGGCUCCGAUCUGUCCAGCCUCUCUGUAGCCGACAUCAACACACAGCAAACAGUGGCCCACAUACAAGAUUGUCAGAGAGACAUUAUUAUUUCCAACAUGCUUCAACAAGACCGCUGUGUGUUGACUUCGGGUCGUACAUCAGGAGAAUUGUUCCUUCUUGAUCCUCGAUCGCACACUAUAGCAGUGGAGCAGGUGUUGGACAAGACCAGUGCACAGCAGGUGUCGGACAAGACCAGUGCACGGCAGGUGUCGGACAAGACCAGUGCACAGCAGGUGUCGGACGCCUGUCCCCGCAGAGACACAUGGACACUGUGUGAAGACAAGUCCAAGGCAGUUGUGCUGCAAAUGUGUAGUAGUGGUGUGAUGCGUGUUCGAGACUGCAGGAACUUGAAGCAUUGUGUGAAAAGUGUACAGACGAAACUCCAGGCAGUUGAGCCAGGGGAGAUAACUCUCAGUAUGGUUCAAUGAAACUACCACUGAUCGAGCAUCUUAGGGAGUUGCCCGACUAAUGCAGACUUGGUGGCAGUUACAGGUUUUGAUGGCUGUGUACAGAUAUAUGACCGAAGCAAGUGGGGAGAUGCUGAUGUUGUCACACCAGUGUUUGUUCACCAAGGCCACAUCGCUG
RNAcentral lists this unclassified non-coding RNA (1736 nucleotides) under Haliotis rufescens (red abalone). Its description in RNAcentral is "wD repeat-containing protein 73-like, transcript variant X3". Lineage: Eukaryota; Metazoa; Mollusca; Gastropoda; Lepetellida; Haliotidae. The record is from RNAcentral.